RNAcentral lists this ribosomal RNA (238 nucleotides) under uncultured bacterium. RNAcentral describes it as "partial 16S ribosomal RNA". It matches the Rfam family "Bacterial small subunit ribosomal RNA", at positions 559 to 793 of the family's 1533-position model. The record is from RNAcentral.
CGUAAAGCGCAUGCAGGUGGUUUGUUAAGUCAGAUGUGAAAGACCCGGGGCUCAACCUCGGAAUUGCAUUUGAAACUGGCAAACUAGAGUACUGUAGAGGGGGGUAGGAAUUUCAGGUGUAGCGGUGAAAUGCGUAGAGAUCUGAAGGAAUACCGGUGGCGAAGGCGGCCCCCUCGGACAGAUACUGACACUCAGAUGCGAAAGCGUGGGGAGCAAACAGGAUUAGAUACCCUGGUAG